AGUCUAUGAUGUGGGAAUAUUCACAUCAUCUCCUUGAAUUACUCUCAUGCUUCAAAAAAUGAUUUACCACCCUUCUGCCUAAAGGAUGUGAUUUGGUUCCUAAGUUG
Molecule: small nucleolar RNA, 107 nt
Organism: Vicia villosa (hairy vetch)
Lineage: Eukaryota; Viridiplantae; Streptophyta; Magnoliopsida; Fabales; Fabaceae
Source: RefSeq, a predicted model, not a curated record